Molecule: transfer RNA, 85 nt
Filed under: Haladaptatus sp. R4
Lineage: Archaea; Methanobacteriati; Methanobacteriota; Halobacteria; Halobacteriales; Haladaptataceae
Also listed under: 3 other names
Description: tRNA-Leu
Rfam family: tRNA
About the family: Transfer RNA (tRNA) molecules are approximately 80 nucleotides in length. Their secondary structure includes four short double-helical elements and three loops (D, anti-codon, and T loops).
Source: RNAcentral
GCGAGGGUUGCCAAGCCAGGCCAACGGCGGCGGGCUUAAGACCCGCUCGUGUAGACGUCCAUGGGUUCGAAUCCCAUCCCUCGCA